UGAGGAACAUGACCUUCGGCGGGGGAUAGCCGGCCCAACGGCCGGGUAAUACCGCGUACGACCACAUGGGGACAUCCCUGAGUGGUGAAAGCAGCAAUGCGCCGAUGGAGUGCCUCGCGGCCUAUCAGCUAGUUGGUGUGGGUAACGGCCCACCAAGGCGACGACGGGUAGCCGGCCUGAGAGGGUGACCGGUCACACUGGGACUGAGACACGGCCCAGACUCCUACGGGNGCAGCAGG
RNAcentral lists this ribosomal RNA (239 nucleotides) under uncultured bacterium. RNAcentral's name for it is "partial 16S ribosomal RNA". It matches the Rfam family "Bacterial small subunit ribosomal RNA", at positions 118 to 354 of the family's 1533-position model. The record is from RNAcentral.